CCUUCCCUCCCCACAUCCCCAAAAGUUAAUUUUAAUGAAGUCCAAUUUAUUUUUUAUUUUGCCACCUGUGCUUUUGGUGUCAUAUGUAAGAAACCACUGCCAAAUUCAAAGUCAUGAAGGUUUGCCCCUGUGUUUUCUUCUAAGAGUUGUAUGGUUUUAGCUUUUAUAUUUAGGUUUGAUGCCUCAAUUCACUCUUAAAGGAAAAAGGAACCCAUCUGAGUACAGAGCUGAUUUCCCUUUUUGUCUCUCUGGGUUGGGACCCGGGAAGCAGCUACUUUAAACCCAAAGAAUCUUUUAUUUAGUACAUAGUAAUGUUCUGCAGAUGUCUUCUAUUAUCAUCUGAUCCCUACAGCAUGUUACUGUAUUCUGAAAACCGGAAUCUGGCAAUGAAGAAUCAUAUUGAUAAGCAGUGAUGACAUUGACCUUUAGCAGCACCAGCUUCACGCCUGAGGAUGAACCUCACUUCUCCCAUGUGGGACCUCAGUUUCCCCAAAGCCUGAGGACCACACCCCCAACCCUGGCAGUGCCCCUGGAGGGCCCCCUAGUGCCACGACCAGGGCCCAGCACCUCGGAUGGAACAGAGUUCUCAUUCAAGAAAGAAAUCAGAAGGAAGGAAAUUCUGACCACUGCUACAACAUGAUGGACCUUGAGGACGUCACGCUGAGUGAAGUAAGACAGUCCCAGAAGGACAAAUAUUGUGUGAUUCCACUUAUAUGAGGUCCCUAGAGUCAUGAC
Aethalodelphis obliquidens (Pacific white-sided dolphin) is the source of this 735-nucleotide long non-coding RNA. RefSeq lists it as uncharacterized. NCBI's taxonomy places the organism in Eukaryota, Metazoa, Chordata, Mammalia, Artiodactyla, Delphinidae. The record is from RefSeq and is a predicted model, not a curated record. The transcript is spliced from 3 exons.